AAGCUUGUUGUCACCACUGCAACUAUGACUGCUCUCUCCAACUGAGAAGUUCUCCCUUUAGAAAGGCUUAGCCCCUCCCACAGGCCAAUUGACCAAAGAUUUCUUCAACUGAAAAUUAUACCUGGAGAAAACAUAACCUAAAAUGAAGAAAUAAAUAAUCAUGGCUUUAACAGAAACAAGUAUGAAAUCAGAAGCAUUAUGACGGAAAAAAAACGUACAAUUCUGACAUGUGACAUCACUUCCUGUUUCCUAUAUGUAUGAUGAUGUGUACAAUGCUCCGGUUGGAAUGUUUGUGGUGGGAAGCCUGGAUGGUCACAGGUUGAAAGACAGUACGCCACCAGGUUCAUUUUGCCGGGUCGAUGACGGACAUGGAACCUAAAUGGUUGCAGGGACCGGUACCAUCAGGACAGCUCCGAGACCCACUGUAGAUGCGUCCACCUGGACCAGGAAACGUUUGUUGAAAUCUGAGCUUCUGAGGACUGGAGAAGAACAUAAACACGGUUUUAAAUUGUUGAAGGCUCUCUCACAUUCCUCAGUCCAACAAAGUGGGUUUCUCUGGCCUUUAGCUGUUAAGGCAAUGAGUGGCACUGCAAUUGUGGCAAAGUCUGGCACGAUAAAAUGAUGGCAAGUUUUUAAAAAUUGUGACAUUUUCUAAAAGUGGUUUAGAGAAGA
Oryzias melastigma (Indian medaka) is the source of this 672-nucleotide long non-coding RNA. RefSeq lists it as uncharacterized. NCBI's taxonomy places the organism in Eukaryota, Metazoa, Chordata, Actinopteri, Beloniformes, Adrianichthyidae. The record is from RefSeq and is a predicted model, not a curated record. The transcript has 3 exons.